GAAAUAUGCUUUCUGACCAAAGGCGUUUUAACACCUGGAAGGCAUGCAGGUAAAAUUAGACAGACCCAGCCCACAACAACCGUAACUUAGAGUCUGUUGCCCUCAGAGUGAUGUAUCCUGGUGGAUUGACUGCAGACAGCCUAGCAGCUGGUAAUAAGGGCUGCCUGGCGAGGCCACAGUCUCAAAGACAGACUGGAAAGCUCUGCGGUCCAGCUCCUCGUCAAUCUGGUGCCGGUAAAAAUCCAUGGCCACCAGGCAGAACAGGUUGACGUCCACCACUUCGCUGGAGCCCAUUCGGCUGAUCACAUGUGGCAGUCUGGUUAAGAGGAGGUGGUUAAGGACAACAGAACAUACCUUUUAGAUACAAAGCUGAGAUCCACUGGGAGGUGGAAGCCGAGACAAAGAAGCAGGAGAGGCUCCACAUGGCCAUGGCCACCGGUGUCCUCUGAGUGAAGUUGGACAAGGACAGCAGCACCCAGUCUCGCACCAUAGACGACUGGCCUGUGGCAUGGAGUGUCUGGAAAACCUGGGGAUGGGUGUACAGCAGAGACAAAGUUGUGGAAGGAGUGUGCUUACACCAAGACAAACAGAUGGAGAAUAUUACCUAGAAAAUAUCUAUUGUGUGGUCUGGCAACAAUAAAUGAGAGUAAGAAUAACUUCAGGUACAUUGUGCAGCACAUGACUGUCCUUCUCUGAGAGACUCACUGCGCUAACAGUGGUCUUUCAUUUUAAUUUUCAAAUUGGCUGAUGUUGUGGAAAAUGUCAUUUCUGCUAAAUUACCACCCAUUUUUAAAUCAAUCUGAGAGGAGAAAUGGAGCAUGCAGAAACAGAUUUUCAGUAAAUGUUUUCCAAAAAUAAGAUCUAAACAAGGACUCAGCUUGCAAAACAUCUACAGAUGACCUCCAUUUCAGUAUAAGCAUGCUUGAAUAUCACAGCUUCAGGUGUCCUACUACAAAUUCUUUUAUUAUAUUACAUCCCUGGACAACAAAUGGAACAGUGUCUUUGCUCAAGCUUGAUGUUGUCUUGACAACCUAUUGUAUGCUUGGACAACAAAAGAGCUGGCUUGCGUAGUCAAAAUAAAAGUAAAAAAGACUUUA
Seriola aureovittata is the source of this 1097-nucleotide long non-coding RNA. RefSeq lists it as uncharacterized. The transcript is spliced from 3 exons. The record is from RefSeq and is a predicted model, not a curated record. Lineage: Eukaryota; Metazoa; Chordata; Actinopteri; Carangiformes; Carangidae.